CCAUAACGACAGGGGAGCCGAAUAGGCUGAGAGUGUCCCGGUGGACAGACCCUCGCACCUGAACCAGGUAAUGCUGGCGCAGGAAGUCGAGUCUCUUACUUG
Molecule: non-coding RNA, 102 nt
Filed under: Varibaculum cambriense
Lineage: Bacteria; Bacillati; Actinomycetota; Actinomycetes; Actinomycetales; Actinomycetaceae
Also listed under: 1 other name
Description: TPP sequence
Rfam family: TPP riboswitch aptamer (THI element)
About the family: Vitamin B(1) in its active form thiamin pyrophosphate (TPP) is an essential coenzyme that is synthesised by coupling of pyrimidine and thiazole moieties in bacteria. The previously detected thiamin-regulatory element, thi box was extended, resulting in a new, highly conserved RNA secondary structure, the THI element, which is widely distributed in eubacteria and also occurs in some archaea.
Source: RNAcentral